Camellia sinensis is the source of this 1707-nucleotide non-coding RNA. The record is from RefSeq and is a predicted model, not a curated record. Lineage: Eukaryota; Viridiplantae; Streptophyta; Magnoliopsida; Ericales; Theaceae.
CCCUGUUAUACCCCCAGGAGAAUUCCAACCCAAAUUGCCCAAAUCCCCCAUUUCUCUUUCUCUCAUUAUUAUCCAUUAAAAAAAUUGUUAACAAUUUGCAUUUGGAGUUAGAUAUAUAUAUAUAUACAUAUAUAUGUAUGUACAUAUCUAGUAGUUAGAAGACAGAGAAAGCCCUAAUGGCGGAGGCGGAGAAAGUAGGGGCCGGCGUGAAGGAGGAGGAGGAGGAGGAAGAACAGAAGUUUUUGGAAGGUGUGACAGUGUUGGAUUUUGAUAUGCUGUGCUCUACGGUGGCUUCUCAGACCCAAGGCAAAUGGAGGAAUUUAGAUACUCUUCAUCAUGAUGAAUCUCAAGAUGGUGUUGUUGGCGCUGAAUUUGGAGGUGUUCUUCGGAUGUGGGAAGGUGAAGUUGUCAAUUGCUUCGACGACCGCCGCAUCGCUCUCCAAUCCGCUUGUUGUCCAUGCUAUCGAUUUGGGAAGAACAUGGGGCGGGCUGGUUUUGGUUCUUGUUUUGUUCAGGGAAUUGUGUAUUUCAUUCUUGCUGCUACGGCACUUCUCAGCUGCAUAGCCUUUAUUGUGACCAAGAGAAAUUGUUUUCUGUAUUUGGCCGUUGUUUUCACCAUCUCAGUUGGAACAUAUCUGGGAUUUUACCGUACACAGAUCAGGAAAAAGUUUAACAUCAGUGGUAGUGAUGGGUCAUUGGAUGAUUGUGUCUACCAUCUAAUAUGCCCUUGCUGCACAUUAUGUCAGGAAUCUAGAACAUUGGAGAUGAACAAUGUUCAAGAUGGAACCUGGCAUGGUCGGGGUGACACAAUAUGCAUAGGACGCUAUGGUGAAGGCAACAAAGCAUUCUUUGAGCUACAACCACCGCCUAUAGUUUCAACCAAGUCUUCUGAUCCCUGCAGUCCGCAAAAAUGUAUAAAUGCCGCAGAUCACUUGUGGACUUCAGAAGUUGCGCAUUCUGCACCUCUGGUCGCACAAUCCCAAUAACAGUCGCGUUCCAAAUAAUGUUUGGAGUCUAAAGUAGAUUCAGAUUUUGGGGAUGGCUGUCCUGAGCAUAGGGCAUCCAACAUCUGCUAUGUGGCCUUGAGAGUGCUCUCUUCUGGUUUUGGAAUGUUGACAUGUUCAAAAGAUUCGAUAAGAAUAUGUUUGCACUUGAAGGAAGAUGGAGCAAAAUUCAUGUAUUUAUUCGCGUGUGGGGGUGAUUGGAACAGCCUCUGCAUCAAAAUCUUGUGUUGGCACUCAUUGGUACAAGGCAACAAGUCGUGCAUAGAGCAGCUGAAUGCCAUCCAUCCCCAAACCAAACCUCCUCCAAAAAGACUCAUGCCAAACAAUGGCAAUGGUUGGCCAUCCAAAAGUGAGUUGACCUCGAAGCAUUCGACAUCACCAUUAAGAACUGGCCAUAUUCAAAAGACCCAAAAAUAUUCAAUAAAUUAAUACCAAAAACUGGCCACAGUCCAACACUCACCCCUAUUCACAUCCGAAACCCAUGAAAUCUGACAUCUUUACCACCACACCAAUCCAGGGCUACUACUAUGGCGCCAAGUACAACCCUAGGAUUUGGAAAAAGAAGAUGGAAUCAAUGGCAAUACAUGUUGGAAUCCAAUGACAAGAAAGACAGUAGACACACCUUUCGAGGAGCAUAUGUGAAGAAACAAAAGCAAGCCAAAGGCCGAAGGGUCCUAGGAGUAGUGUGUUUUAGGACAGUUAG